Molecule: non-coding RNA, 135 nt
Organism: Brachypodium distachyon (stiff brome)
Lineage: Eukaryota; Viridiplantae; Streptophyta; Magnoliopsida; Poales; Poaceae
Source: Rfam
GAGGUACUCCCUCCUUCCAUCAAAGGAUGUCUCAACUUUAACUAAAUUCGAAUGCAUCUAUACACUAAGUUAUGUCUAGAUACAUUCAAAUUUGACAAGCUUGAGACAUCUUUUGUUGGACGGAGUGAGUAAUAA